AGAGUUUGAUCCUGGCUCAGAACGAACGCUGGCGGCAGGCUUAACACAUGCAAGUCGAGCGCUGUAGCAAUACAGAGCGGCAGACGGGUGAGUAACGCGUGGGAACAUACCCUUCGGUUCGGAAUAGCUCAGGGAAACUUGAAUUAAUACCGGAUACGGCCGGGAGGCGAAAGAUUUAUCGCCGAAGGAUUGGCCCGCGUUCGAUUAGCUAGUUGGCGAGGUAACGGCUCACCAAGGCGACGAUCGAUAGCUGGUCUGAGAGGAUGAUCAGCCACAUUGGGACUGAGACACGGCCCAAACUCCUACGGGAGGCAGCAGUGGGGAAUAUUGGACAAUGGGCGCAAGCCUGAUCCAGCCAUGCCGCGUGAGUGAUGACGGCCUUAGGGUUGUAAAGCUCUUUCGCUAGGGACGAUAAUGACGGUACCUAGACAAGAAGCCCCGGCUAACUUCGUGCCAGCAGCCGCGGUAAUACGAAGGGGGCUAGCGUUGUUCGGAAUUACUGGGCGUAAAGCGCAUGUAGGCGGGUCUUUAAGUCAGGGGUGAAAUGCCGAGGCUCAACCUUGGAACUGCCUUUGAUACUGGAGAUCUUGAGUCCGGGAGAGGUGAGUGGAACUGCGAGUGUAGAGGUGAAAUUCGUAGAUAUUCGCAAGAACACCAGUGGCGAAGGCGGCUCACUGGCCCGGAACUGACGCUGAGAUGCGAAAGCGUGGGGAGCAAGCAGGAUUAGAUACCCUGGUAGUCCACGCUGUAAACGAUGGAUGCUAGCCGUUAGGCAGCUUGCUGCUUAGUGGCGCAGCUAACGCUUUAAGCAUCCCGC
Molecule: ribosomal RNA, 817 nt
Filed under: uncultured bacterium
Lineage: Bacteria
Description: bacterial SSU rRNA
Rfam family: Bacterial small subunit ribosomal RNA
Source: RNAcentral